AGAAUCAACGCUGGCGGCGUGCCUAACACAUGCAAGUCGCACGAGAAAGGGGGGCAAUCCCUGAGUAAAGUGGCGCACGGGUGAGUAACACGUGAAUAAUCUACCUCCGAGUGGGGAAUAACUGAGAGAAAUCUUAGCUAAUACCGCAUAACACUUACGAGUCAAAGCAGCAAUGCGCUUGGAGAGGAGUUCGCGGCCGAUUAGUUAGUUGGCGGGGUAAUGGCCCACCAAGACGAUGAUCGGUAUCCGGCCUGAGAGGGCGCACGGACACACUGGAACUGAAACACGGUCCAGACUCCUACGGGAGGCAGCAGUGGGGAAUUUUGCGCAAUGGGGGAAACCCUGACGCAGCAACGCCGCGUGGAGGAUGAAGCCCCUUGGGGUGUAAACUCCUUUCGAUCGGGAAGAUAAUGACGGUACCGAUAUAAGAAGCCCCGGCUAACUUCGUGCCAGCAGCCGC
This 460-nucleotide ribosomal RNA is filed under the name uncultured bacterium. Its description in RNAcentral is "SSU rRNA". It matches the Rfam family "Bacterial small subunit ribosomal RNA", at positions 26 to 518 of the family's 1533-position model. The record is from RNAcentral.